UCGACCUUCUUCGCCUUAAAGCUCCUAGGCAUCCACCAUAGACUCUUAUUACUUUGACCAUAUUUUUAUCUUCCAUCUCUAUUUUGCCAAUUUGUUUAUACAACAUARAAUAAUAUAUAUCUUUGUUUAAUCCAUGUCAAUAUAUAUAUUAUUUUUUAUAUUAUUUGAAURWWWCAUUCAAAUAAUAUAAACAUUUAAAAAAUAAAUUUAAGGUUUAAAGUAUAAAAUAAAAACCCGGCCAAUAACUGCUYCCCYUUYAUCGCGAUUUU
This 269-nucleotide ribosomal RNA is filed under the name Borrelia sp. The record is from RNAcentral. Lineage: Bacteria; Pseudomonadati; Spirochaetota; Spirochaetia; Spirochaetales; Borreliaceae.